GUGAAGGUCCCGCCUCGUGCGGACCGAGGGAAGAUGGGCCGCGCUGCUGUGCGGCUCCGCAUUCCCGGGGCGUCUCGUUCUCAUUGCGAGUUGAGGCGCACCCAGAGCGUACACGUUGGGACCCGAAAGAUGGUGAACUAUGCCUGGACAGGACGAAGUCAGGGGAAACCCUGAUGGAGGUCCGUAGCGAUUCUGACGUGCAAAUCGAUCGUCGGAGCUGGGUAUAGGGGCGAAAGACUAAUCGAACCAUCUAGUAGCUGGUUCCCUCCGAAGUUUCCCUCAGGAUAGCUGGUGCUCGAACGAGUCUCAUCCGGUCAAGCGAAUGAUUAGAGGCCUUGGGGCCGAAACGACCUCAACCUAUUCUCAAACUUUAAAUGGGUGAGAUCUCCGGCUUGCUUAAAACAUUUUUGAAGCCGCGAGAU
This 422-nucleotide ribosomal RNA is filed under the name Antaxius hispanicus. RNAcentral's name for it is "eukaryotic LSU rRNA". It matches the Rfam family "Eukaryotic large subunit ribosomal RNA", at positions 725 to 1108 of the family's 3401-position model. Lineage: Eukaryota; Metazoa; Arthropoda; Insecta; Orthoptera; Tettigoniidae. The record is from RNAcentral.